UGAGGGAAAGUUGCAAAGAACUUUGAAGAGAGAGUUCAAGAGUUAGUGAAACUGCUCAGGGGCAAACGGGUGGGCCCUCGAAGUCCGUGCGGAGAGGGUUUCAGUCGGGGCCCCCAGCGCGCGGGACGGCCUCGAGGCGCAGUGGCCUCGCUCCCAGUGCGAGCGGACGCUCCGGCAAGGAGCGCGUCGGCGGGAGCCCCGAGUCACCGCGGUGCGUUUCCCCGGGCUGGCGGCGAGUAGGUCGGUAACCCACCCGUCCCGUCUUAAAACACGGACCAAGGAGUCCGACGUGCGCGCGAGUCAGUGGGGCUCGGCAAAGCCCACGGGCGGAACGAAAGUGAGACAGGUCGGGAUCGCCGACUCCGGUCGGCGCGCACCUCGCGGAAGUCGCCGGCGCUGGAGCGCGCGCGUCGGGACCCGAAAGAUGGUGAACUAUGCCCGGGCAGGUCGAAGCUAGAGGAAACUCUGGUGGAGGACCGCAGCGUUUCUGACGUGCAAAUCGAUUGUUGAACCUAGG
This 517-nucleotide ribosomal RNA is filed under the name Leptopholcus guineensis. RNAcentral's name for it is "eukaryotic LSU rRNA". It matches the Rfam family "Eukaryotic large subunit ribosomal RNA", at positions 354 to 915 of the family's 3401-position model. The record is from RNAcentral. Lineage: Eukaryota; Metazoa; Arthropoda; Arachnida; Araneae; Pholcidae.